This 73-nucleotide transfer RNA is filed under the name Desulfuribacillus stibiiarsenatis. It matches the Rfam family "tRNA". From Rfam's summary of the family: Transfer RNA (tRNA) molecules are approximately 80 nucleotides in length. Lineage: Bacteria; Bacillati; Bacillota; Desulfuribacillia; Desulfuribacillales; Desulfuribacillaceae. The record is from Rfam by way of RNAcentral.
GCUCGUAUAGCUCAGUCGGUAGAGCGCAUCCAUGGUAAGGAUGAGGUCAUCGGUUCAAUCCCGGUUACGAGCU